Molecule: long non-coding RNA, 2625 nt
Filed under: Xyrichtys novacula (pearly razorfish)
Lineage: Eukaryota; Metazoa; Chordata; Actinopteri; Labriformes; Labridae
Source: RNAcentral
GCACUUUAGCAGCCGUUUAUCAUCUUUGUUUUAAUUAUUAAAAGGAAAGUUUCCCAAUAUUUAGCCCCAAGAGUAUUUGUAUUUCAUGUGUUUAUUUCUAGUAUAAAUGUCAGCUCUCGCCGCCAUUGGAAAAAGGUGUUUUGAAAAUGAGGCCAGGAUGAAAAUCAUCCAACGGUGUUUGAAUUAUGAAUCACAAACACUGUGCUGUCUCUGUGUGUUGCAGUGAGCUGAUAAAUUAAUCACAAGGCUGAAGAGAUCAACAUUCAUCAGCUGCUGCCUGCGUGUUUCCAAAAUGAGCCUGUCUCAAGUAUGAUUUGGUGGGGUGCUCCUCCUCUCAUAAGGUUGGUGCAGUGGGGAAAUUUAUGUCCACUGAUAAAGAGGAUCAGAGUGGCUUCAUGGAGGUUGAGGUAACUCCAUAGUCCCUUGUUUCUCUGGUCUUUCCAGACUCACUCAGUGCGUUUACAUGCACAGCUUAAUCGGACUAAGCUCAUAAUUCGUUUUUUUUUCGCCCAACUGGAUUUCUCUCCUUGUCCACAUAUACAUGCAGCUGAGGAAAUCAAAUUAUUGACGUGAACGUGUCCUCCUCUUCAAAACUAGGGGGUGAUAUGGGUCUUUUCAGCGGUGCUGUUUAUGGUUGACCCCAUACAACUACCCACAACAACAGAAGGUCCAUGCCAGAUGUCAAAAGGGGCUACAACUGCUGCUGGGCAUUUCCAAGCAAGAAGAUGGAUGGAUACCUUUUCCCCAGAUGAGGUGCAUGCUACUACUCUUCUCUGGUGUUUUUGUUCCGGGGUUAUGGCGGCGUGGCGCAUGUGCACAUGCGUUGUCCAUCAUACUCCGACUAUGCUGGUUACUUGGUAGAGAAAAUCGAAUUCCAAUCGCAUUAUCUGGGUGUCUUAAUCAAAGUUCUCCAACUCCAAUCAGAGUUCUCAAACUCUGAUUAAAGUCGGACUAAGAUGUUUACAUGCACUUCAGUUAUCAGGUCUUAAUCCUAGUAAGGCAAUAAUUCGGUUUUCUCGAGUGUCAUGUAAACGUACUGACUGAAACUCUUUGUGCAACACUCCUAAUUGAGAAUACAAAAGAAGAUCAUUCCCCGCAUAAUCACAACAAUGUUGUUUAAAGUUAAAAAAAAAAAGCCUCAGAAAAAGGGUCAAGUUCCUUUGACAAGAACAGACCAGAUUGAUUACUUUAUCACCAAAGGCUGUACCAAGUGUCAAUCAUAGAAAACAUGAACCCCCUAAUAACUUUUAAAAAUGGAGCUGUACAGAAAAAAAGAGGAGUUGAGCACAAACCAGACUUUCAAUAACUACAUGUCAACAUUGCAAGUAGGGGAGCGAAAAUUUUAUAUUCUGUGUAAUAAAUUUCAUAAGUUUGUCCACAGCUCCAUAGGGAUUGCUGGAAGAGCCUGGAUUGAUGACCUAUACUGUAGCCCAUCACCAUAGGGUGCUGUUCUCGAAGUGGCAUCACUCAGUGAGGAGGCGGACGACGUCCAUUCUAUAUACAGUCCAUGACUCAAAACCUCUGCUUCACUUUGAGGGAGCUGUGGUGUUAUCCAAAUUAUGAACAGUCUUCUGAACUGGGUCAUGAGUUUGCAUUCAUGGUCUAUUUUAGUCAUUUUCUGUUACAUAUUAACAUACCACGUGACAACCUCCAGGGCUGAGAAAAGAUGCCAGUGUGAGAGUGCAAAGAUCUGUCCAAAAUCAUAUUUGACGAUCAUCAAAACAUCCAUAUAAAAGAAAGGGUCAUUCAUUUUAUCCCCAAAUAUGGUAUGUGUGAUGUUUCUCAAGACUUCAUUGUUUACCUAAAAUUAUGCAUGUUCAGUGGCACAGCCUAAAGCUGCAUUUGUUUAAGGAUAUUUGCACAAGGAGGGUUUUUUUUUUAUUUAUCAGUAAAGUUCUGUUUUCAAUACCUUACAAUGGUAUUUUUACAGUUAAAUAAAAUAAUGACUGGCAUCAAUGUGGCACCCAUUAAGCUGAAAAAGAGUGACUCUUUUUUCAAACAGGUCUAUCUUUCAUAUUUCUAUACUGUGAACAGACUGUGAUACCUGUCUCGGGCUUCACUGGUCACUAAAUGGACCUUUACAAGUCAGCCAACCACUGAUACAGCCUCUGAUUGGACAAAGCAAAGGUGGCAGCCUUUAUCGAAUACUGCCAGCUUACAACAUGAAUGAGGCUGUUUUACCAAAAUAAAUAGAUAAAUCAUCACAGAUUACCUCCCCUAUUAAUUGAUUAGAUUUAGACAGUCCCUGAAAUACACUGAUAUUGACCAGACUUGCUGCUGAAUGUUGCAGAAAAAGUUUAUUACCCAGGGCUGCUGGUCUCACAGAGUGAGUGGAUUUUACAUCAAGUUGGUAUGUUAAACCAUUUUAUUUUUUAAGCAGAUAUUAUCAAGACAUCAAAACUGUGCCAAUACAACCCUGAAUAUGUAAAAAGGAAAAGGAGUCUGUUGGGGUCAAAACUUGAAGAGUUUACUGUGUGCUAUUUUCCAUCUUUUUUUAUGAUUCAAAGCCACUUUCAUCUCAGUCCAGACUGAUGUUUGCUGUAUAUCCUCUUUUGCUUUUUUUUCAUUUGUUUCUUGACUGUUCAUCCAUGUUUUAAGGAUAAAAACUGCUUUACUACAUCGAAG